Molecule: ribosomal RNA, 433 nt
Filed under: uncultured bacterium
Lineage: Bacteria
Description: partial 16S ribosomal RNA
Rfam family: Bacterial small subunit ribosomal RNA
Source: RNAcentral
AACGAACGCUGGCGGCAUGCCUAACACAUGCAAGUCGAACGAGACCUUCGGGCCUAGUGGCGCACGUGUGCGUAACGCGUGGGAACCUGCCCUUAGGUUCGGAAUCACUCCCCGAAAGGGGUGCUAAUACCGGUUAAUCUCUUCCGACCUAAGAUGUAUCGCCAUUGGAUGGGCCCGCGUUGGAUUAGCUGGUUGGUAGGGUAAUAGCCUACCAAGGCGUCGAUGCAUAGCUGGUCGGAGAGGAGGAUCAGCCAGAAUGGGACUGAGACACGGCCCAGACUCGGACGGGAGGGAGCAGUGGGGAAUAUUGGAGGAGGGGCGAAAGCCUAGUCAAGCAGUGCCGCGGGAGUGAUGAAGGGGUUAGGGUUGUAAAGCUCUUUUACCCGGGAUGAUAAUGACGGUACCGGGAGAAUAAGCACCGGCUAACUACGUG